UUUGAUUAUGGCUCAUAUUGAACGCUGGCGGCAGGCUUAACACAUGCAAGUUCAACGGUAACAUAAAGAAGCUUUGCUUCUUUGAUGACGAGUGGCGGACGGGUGAGUAAUGCUUGGGAAUCUAGCUUAUGGAGGGGGAUAACUACGGGAAACUGUAGCUAAUACCGCGUAGAAUCGAGAGAUGAAAGUGUGGGACCUUCGGGCCACAUGCCAUAGGAUGAGCCCAAGUGGGAUUAGGUAGUUUGGUGAGGUAAAGGCUCACCAAGCCGACGAUUCUCUAGCUGGUCUGAGAGGAUGACCAGCCACACUGGGACUGAGACACGGCCCAGACUCCUACGGGAGGCAGCAGUGGGGAAUAUUGCGCAAUGGGGGCAACCCUGACGCAGCCAUGCCGCGUGAAUGAAGAAGGCCUUCGGGUUUGUAAAGUUCUUUCGGUAGCGAGGAAGGCAUUUAGUUUAAUAAACUAGGUGAUUGACGUUAACUACAGAAGAAGCACCGGCUAACUCCGUGCCAGCAGCCGCGGUAAUACGGAGGGUGCGAGCGUUAAUCGGGAAUAACUGGGCGUAAAGAGCACGCAGGCGGUGACUUAAGUGAGGUGUGAAAGCCCCGGGCUUAACCUGGGAAUUGCAUUUCAUACUGGGUCGCUAGAGUACUUUAGGGAGGGGUAGAAUUCCACGUGUAGCGGUGAAAUGCGUAGAGAUGUGGAGGAAUACCGAAGGCGAAGGCAGCCCCUUGGGAAUGUACUGACGCUCAUGUGCGAAAGCGUGGGGAGCAAACAGGAUUAGAUACCCUGGUAGUCCACGCUGUAAACGAUGUCGAUUUGGGGGUUGAGCUUUGAGCUUGGCGCCCGUAGCUAACGUGAUAAAUCGACCGCCUGGGGAGUACGGCCGCAAGGUUAAAACUCAAAUGAAUUGACGGGGGCCCGCACAAGCGGUGGAGCAUGUGGUUUAAUUCGAUGCAACGCGAAGAACCUUACCUACUCUUGACAUCCAGAGAACUUUCCAGAGAUGGAUUGGUGCCUUCGGGAACUCUGAGACAGGUGCUGCAUGGCUGUCGUCAGCUCGUGUUGUGAAAUGUUGGGUUAAGUCCCGCAACGAGCGCAACCCUUAUCCUUUGUUGCCAGCGAUUAGGUCGGAAACUCAAAGGAGACUGCCGGUGAUAAACCGGAGGAAGGUGGGGAUGACGUCGAGUCAUCGUGGCCCUUACGAGUAGGGCUACGCACGUGCUACGAAUGGCGUAUACGGAGGAAGGCGAGAGUGCGAGCUGGAGCGAAAUCUCGCGAAAGUGACGUCUAAGUUCCGGAUUGGA
This 1308-nucleotide ribosomal RNA is filed under the name uncultured bacterium. Its description in RNAcentral is "bacterial SSU rRNA". It matches the Rfam family "Bacterial small subunit ribosomal RNA", at positions 12 to 1302 of the family's 1533-position model. The record is from RNAcentral.